CCCGAAAGAUCGAAUGGGGAGAUUCAUCGUCAGCGCGGUUGGCUUUCGCCGCGGGUUGCGAUGUCUGAAGAAAUUUAUUUCAAAUUCACGCGCGGCACGCUCCCGUGCGAAUGCGUCCGGCCGCGUCGGCGUGCACUUCUCCCCUAGUAGAACGUCGCGACCCGCUGGGUGUCGGUCUACGGGGCCGCGUCAUUAGGCCGUCGCGGGCGCUUCACGGCGCCCGUUGGCGGAGGCGUGGAUAUCCCCCGAUCGACUGCCCGGCGGUACACGCACGGUAUCGAGCCGCACAUUUUAACUGCGUUCUGGCCCGUCGCAAGCUCGCUCGUGUUCACUUUGGACGAUUCGGACCUCGAAGCCGACGCCGAAGCCGAGCAGCUGUUGGCGCACGGUGUCCUCGAACAGGCUCACCCACGCCGAGUCCCUCGGGCUCGCGGGUACCGGUCGGCGACGCUAUUGCUUUGGGUACUUUCAGGACCCGUCUUGAAACACGGACCAAGGAGUCUAACAUGUGCGCAAGUCAUUGGGAUUACAUUGAAACCCAAAGGCGUAUUGAAAGAGAAGGUCGGCCCUGGCGCCGACCGAGGGAGGAUGGGCCGCUUCACGAGGCGGCCCCGCACUCCCGGGGCGUCUCGAACUCAUUGCGAGUUGAGGCGCACCCAGAGCGUACACGUUGGGACCCGAAAGAUGGUGAACUAUGCCUGGUCAGGACGAAGUCAGGGGAAACCCUGAUGGAGGUCCGUAGCGAUUCUGACGUGCAAAUCGAUCGUCGGAACUGGGUAUAG
RNAcentral lists this ribosomal RNA (782 nucleotides) under Aphanomerus sp. M246. RNAcentral describes it as "eukaryotic LSU rRNA". The stretch from base 319 to 782 matches the Rfam family "Eukaryotic large subunit ribosomal RNA", at positions 1 to 920 of the family's 3401-position model. Lineage: Eukaryota; Metazoa; Arthropoda; Insecta; Hymenoptera; Platygastridae. The record is from RNAcentral.